Molecule: ribosomal RNA, 460 nt
Filed under: uncultured bacterium
Lineage: Bacteria
Description: partial 16S ribosomal RNA
Rfam family: Bacterial small subunit ribosomal RNA
Source: RNAcentral
CCUACGGGAGGCAGCAGUGAGGAAUAUUGGUCAAUGGGCGCUAGCCUGAACCAGCCAAGUAGCGUGAAGGAUGACUGCCCUAUGGGUUGUAAACUUCUUUUAUAUGGGAAUAAAGUGCAGUAUGUAUACUGCUUUGCAUGUACCUUAUGAAUAAGGAUCGGCUAACUCCGUGCCAGCAGCCGCGGUAAUACGGAGGAUCCGAGCGUUAUCCGGAUUUAUUGGGUUUAAAGGGAGCGUAGGCGGGUUGUUAAGUCAGUUGUGAAAGUUUGCGGCUCAACCGUAAAAUUGCAGUUGAUACUGGCAGCCUUGAGUACAGUAGAGGUAGGCGGAAUUCGUGGUGUAGCGGUGAAAUGCUUAGAUAUCACGAAGAACUCCGAUUGCGAAGGCAGCCUGCUAGACUGUAACUGACGCUGAUGCUCGAAAGUGUGGGUAUCAAACAGGAUUAGAUACCCCAGUAGUC